RNAcentral lists this ribosomal RNA (384 nucleotides) under uncultured Cryptomonas. RNAcentral's name for it is "partial small subunit ribosomal RNA". It matches the Rfam family "Eukaryotic small subunit ribosomal RNA", at positions 30 to 432 of the family's 1831-position model. The record is from RNAcentral. Lineage: Eukaryota; Cryptophyceae; Cryptomonadales; Cryptomonadaceae.
GCUUGUCUCAAAGAUUAAGCCAUGCAUGUCUUAGUGUAAAUAACUCUUAUGAAACUGCGAAUGGCUCAUUAAAUCAGUUAUCAAAUACGUGAUGGUCGCCUACUACAUGGAUAACCGUAGUAAUUCUAGAGCUAAUACAUGCACAAAGGCCCAUUCACGUGGGUUGUGAUUAUUAGAUUCAAACCGGCCUCGUUCUGGUGAUUCAUAAUAACUUUGCGAAUCGCAUGGCCUUGUGCCGGCGAUGAAUCAUUCAAAUUUCUGCCCUAUCAACUUUCGAUGGUAAGGUAUUGGCUUACCAUGGUUGCAACGGGUGACGGGGAAUUAGGGUUCGAUUCCGGAGAGGGAGCCUGAGAAAUGGCUACCACAUCCAAGGAAGGCAGCAGG